UGGGGAAUAUUGCACAAUGGGGGAAACCCUGAUGCAGCGACGCCGCGUGAGUGAAGAAGUAUUUCGGUAUGUAAAGCUCUAUCAGCAGGGAAGAAAAUGACGGUACCUGAGUAAGAAGCCCCGGCUAACUACGUGCCAGCAGCCGCGGUAAUACGUAGGGGGCGAGCGUUAUCCGGAUUUACUGGGUGUAAAGGGAGCGUAGACGGCGAUGCAAGUCUGGAGUGAAAACCCAGGGCUCAACCCUGGGAUUGCUUUGGAAACUGUAUAGCUGGAGUGCAGGAGAGGCAGGCGGAAUUCCGGUGUAGCGGUGAAAUGCGUAGAGAUCGGGAGGAACACCAGUGGCGAAGGCGGCCUGCUGGGCUUUAACUGACGCUGAGGCACGAAAGCAUGGGUAGCAAACAGGAUUAGAUACCC
This 414-nucleotide ribosomal RNA is filed under the name uncultured bacterium. Its description in RNAcentral is "bacterial SSU rRNA". It matches the Rfam family "Bacterial small subunit ribosomal RNA", at positions 355 to 787 of the family's 1533-position model. The record is from RNAcentral.